GAUGAACGCUGGCGGCGUGCCUAAUACAUGCAAGUCGAGCGAACAGACGAGGAGCUUGCUCCUCUGACGUUAGCGGCGGACGGGUGAGUAACACGUGGAUAACCUACCUAUAAGACUGGGAUAACUUCGGGAAACCGGAGCUAAUACCGGAUAAUAUAUUGAACCGCAUGGUUCAAUAGUGAAAGACGGUUUUGCUGUCACUUAUAGAUGGAUCCGCGCCGCAUUAGCUAGUUGGUAAGGUAACGGCUUACCAAGGCAACGAUGCGUAGCCGACCUGAGAGGGUGAUCGGCCACACUGGAACUGAGACACGGUCCAGACUCCUACGGGAGGCAGCAGUAGGGAAUCUUCCGCAAUGGGCGAAAGCCUGACGCAGCAACGCCGCGUGAGUGAUGAAGGUCUUCGGAUCGUAAAACUCUGUUAUUAGGGAAGAACAAAUGUGUAAGUAACUAUGCACGUCUUGACAGUACCUAAUCAGAAAGCCACGGCUAACUACGUG
This 497-nucleotide ribosomal RNA is filed under the name uncultured bacterium. RNAcentral's name for it is "partial 16S ribosomal RNA". It matches the Rfam family "Bacterial small subunit ribosomal RNA", at positions 28 to 507 of the family's 1533-position model. The record is from RNAcentral.